AUGAUGGUCCCUGCUCAGCUCCUGGGUCUCUUACUGCUCUGGAUCCCUGCAACAAGUGGGGAUAUUGUGAUGACCCAGACUCCACUCAGCCUGUCCAUCAUGCUUGGACAGCCAGCAACCCUCACAUGCAAGUCAAGUCAGAGCCUUGUACAUAGUGAUGGAAAAACCUAUUUGUACUGGAUCCAGCAGAAGCCAGGCCAAGCUCCACAUCCCCUGAUCUAUCAAGUUUCUAACCGGUACACUGGAGUCCCAGACAGGUUCAUUGGCAGUGGGGCAAUUACAGAUUUCACUCUUAAAAUCAACAGAGUGGAGGCUGAGGAUAUUGCCAUUUAUUACUGUAUGCAAGUUAUACAAACUCCUCCCACAGCCCUGCACAAAAACUUGUUUUGGCAUGGCCCAGUUGCCCAAACUUGUGUGGUUUUUCUAAAAGCAGACAUUGCACACUGUCUAGUCUGA
This is a non-coding RNA of Chrysochloris asiatica (Cape golden mole), 456 nucleotides long. The record is from the annotation of a RefSeq genome assembly. NCBI's taxonomy places the organism in Eukaryota, Metazoa, Chordata, Mammalia, Afrosoricida, Chrysochloridae.